GAUGCCAGCUAGCGAUCCGCCAAAGUUCCUCCGAUGACUUGGUGGGCAGCUUCCGGGAAACCAAAGCAUUUGGGUUCCGGGGGAAGUAUGGUUGCAAAGCUGAAACUUAAAGGAAUUGACGGAAGGGCACCACCAGGAGUGGAGCCUGCGGUUAAAUUUGACUCAACACGGGAAACCUCACCAGGCCCGGACACCGGAAGGAUUGACAGAUUGAGAGCUCUUUCUUGAUUCGGUGGGUGGUGGUGCAUGGCCGUUCUUAGUUGGUGGAGCGAUUUGUCUGGUUAAUUCCGAUAACGAACGAGACUCUAGCCUACUAAAUAGACGUACUUUAUUACCGGCAUCUCAAGGCCCAUCGGCUGUAUUGUUACUGAAUGUUAUUUGUAUAUUUUGUUUCUUAUAUAUAUUUAUAAUA
Molecule: ribosomal RNA, 412 nt
Filed under: Myrmeleon mariaemathildae
Lineage: Eukaryota; Metazoa; Arthropoda; Insecta; Neuroptera; Myrmeleontidae
Description: SSU rRNA
Rfam family: Eukaryotic small subunit ribosomal RNA
Source: RNAcentral